UUUUUUUUUUUUUGGUCUUUUUGUCUUUUCUAGGACCACACCCUCGGCAUGUGGAGGUUCCCAGGCUAGGGUCUAAUUGGAGCUGUAGUAACUCGGGAUCCGAGCCACAUCUGUGACCUACACCACAGCUCAUGGCAACACUGGAUCCUUAACCCACUGAGCAAGGCCAGUGAUGGAACCCACAACCUCAAGGUUCCUAGUCAGAUUCAUUAACCACUGAGCCACAAUGAGAACUGGAAUCACUCUUUUGAUAUGCACCUCAGCUGUAGGCCAGUCUUCUUUGUUUCUUUCCCGAGUUCCCUCAGGGCUUACUGGCUCACCUUUGUUCUCACCCUGACUAUGACCUCUUUGGUUUUGUUCACUUUACAGCCCAGGAGGCAGUAUUCCAAAGAGGAAAGGGGGAGUAAGUCAUCAAGCUGAAGGGUGUGGAAAGUAACAUAAUGUCUUUUCUAUCAAAGGAAAUCUUGGUUACUCCAUUUUGCUCCAGUUUCGGCUGAAACACCCCCCUGCGACCCCCUUCCUCUUUACCUUUUCUCCCAGCAACAGUUUGUUUCAACUGGCCAAUCGGGAAGAAUGUGCACCCUGACCUGACCAAUGGGAAGGGGACAGGUAUACCACCUGCUACCACCUGCAUUAGGGAUAAAGAGAGAGGGUCUUAGCUUCAGCGUGCACACUUUUUGAGCACCUGCGCCCUUCUGCAGAAGUAAGGAGCCUUGUCAAGAUGUCCCCUUGUCCACAUGUCUCACUUUUCAACACUGACGACCCGAGCCAGAGUUAUCUUAUUUGCCAACAAGGGGGAGAUUUCUGUUGCCAAAAUUCGGCCUCUAUCUGCUGGUGCCAAAUUGAAAUGCAGAGACAGAGUUUGGGGUAAAGGAGAAAAAGAUAGCUUUAUUGUUUUGCCAGGCAAAAGGGGGCCAUAGCAGGCCAAUGCCUUAAAGACUGUGCCCGCCCCCCCCAAGUUGGGAAGAAUUGCAGGGAGUUUUAUAGUAAAAAGGAGAAAAAGGAGGUUUUCAGAUAGGAAUCAGGAUUGGGCAGACAUGCACUCUUCUUUCUUUGGGGGGAUCUUCUUCAUCAAAGCUGGAGUGGGGAGAUCUUGGUGUUGAGGCAGGAUGGUAACACUGUAGUUAGUGUAGGAGCGUGGGUUUCGUUGCAUUCUUUGAUGUGGCCAUUGAAAUCACUAACCCACUCCUCAACUGAUAGAAAAGGAAUGAGAGGAAUGGCGACUCUCAGUCUAAGAAGAGAAGAGCAAAGAAACCUUAAAACUUUUGGGGCAUUUCCACCUCUAAGACUCCUAUUGGACAAGGACUGAUAGAGGUAACUGGGCAAGGCCAAUGGGAGAAAACUACAUCCUUCUGGACCCCACAUUGGUACCCCCUCUUUAAGGGAUUAAAAACACCUAUAGGACAAUAGAGAGUGGGACUCUUCCUCCUCCUCCCAGUGUCUGUGCUGGGAGCUGUUUGCUUUCCUGUAAUAAAGACUUUGCUUGCUUGCUGCCUGUUGGUUCACGAGGUUGAUUCUUCAGCACCAUGAACAAGAACUCAGAUUCUGAUGUCAUCUUUCCAGCAUCAGCAUGAUCGUGGUGGUGGUCUUCUGGGAUAUUGCCUAGAAUAACGGUACUUGUGAAAUGGGCAUAUGACAAUGAGACACCAACAUCAAAUGCUUUCACUGACAUGCGGAAUCUGAAAAAAGGACAGACUGAACUUUGCAGAACAGAUGCUGACUCACAGACAUUGAAAAACCUGUGGUCUCUGGAGGAGACGGUUUGGGGGGUGGGGGGAUGUGCUUGGGCUGUGGGAUGGAAAUCCUGUGAAAUUAGAUUGUUAUGAUCAUUAUAAAAAAAUAAUAAAAUUACAUCCAAAAAAAAAAAAAAGAAAGAAAAGGGCAUAUGGAUCAGCGAUUCAAACAAACUAGGAAAGUUCCUGAAAAAUGACAUGUGCUCAUCAUCUUUAACCCACAGGCAAUUGUGCUCAGGGUGCUUAAUUUUUAGCUUAUGAGUGAUUGUGUUUAGGAUGCAAUUAAGCCAGGGAGACAGACAAGGAAGACUCUAAGCUGUUCAGUUUUAAAGUAUUCAUUUCUAAAAGAAGCAUAAGAAAUAUAACUUUUCUCUUAGGUGUAUAAGAUGCCUAUAUCAUCAUGUGUAUCCCUUGAGAGGGAACCAGGAUCCUGCCCCGAGGCUGUACUGUUGUUUCUUGACUGUUCCUCCCUGGUCUUCGCAUCCCCUUCCUUCCCUGAUCAGCAACUGUCUUUGAACCUGCUCCUUAGAACUCAGGGAAGGUCCUGGAGGCUGAAUGAGGCCCAUUUCCUAAGAAUAGGAAAUGGGGACACAGAAAGGCUUUUGUGCCCAGGAGCCCCACAGGGCCCUGCUUAGUUACGUCACUACUAGUCACAGACAUCAGUCAUCAUUGAAGGACUUUAGUGUUUUUCUAGAUAUGAGGAGAUGGAAGAAUUGGGCUCAUAAAAUCUCCUAAAACUAUCUAACCGUCUGAAGACCUGUUCUGCCAGUUUUCCCAGAGCUCAGAGUGCCCCACUCCUGGUCUCCACCCUGAGCUCCACUGGCGGGGGGCAGGGGUAGAGGCUGAUGACAACUGCCAACUUCAGCAUCGGUUCACAAGCCCCACCGGGUCCUGCUCAGUUUCAUUUAGUGCAGAAAUAUCUCUCUU
This 2660-nucleotide long non-coding RNA is filed under the name Sus scrofa (pig). Its description in RNAcentral is "lncRNA (ENSSSCG00000050000.1)". Lineage: Eukaryota; Metazoa; Chordata; Mammalia; Artiodactyla; Suidae. The record is from RNAcentral.